UACACUUUCUUCUUGCACUGACAAAGGCCU
Molecule: non-coding RNA, 30 nt
Filed under: Homo sapiens (human)
Lineage: Eukaryota; Metazoa; Chordata; Mammalia; Primates; Hominidae
Source: RNAcentral